UACGUAGGGGGCAAGCGUUGUCCGGAUUUAUUGGGCGUAAAGAGCGUGUAGGCGGCCUGACAGGUCUGCUGUGAAAACUCGAGGCUCAACCUCGAGAUGUCGGCGGAAACCGUCUGGCUAGAGUCCGGAAGAGGAAAGUGGAAUUCCUGGUGUAGCGGUGAAAUGCGCAGAUAUCAGGAAGAACACCCGUGGCGAAGGCGGCUUUCUGGGACGGUACUGACGCUGAGACGCGAAAGCGUGGGGAGCGAACAGG
RNAcentral lists this ribosomal RNA (253 nucleotides) under uncultured bacterium. RNAcentral describes it as "partial 16S ribosomal RNA". It matches the Rfam family "Bacterial small subunit ribosomal RNA", at positions 524 to 776 of the family's 1533-position model. The record is from RNAcentral.